GUCUAUAGCCAAGUGGUAAGGCGUGGGUCUGCAAAACCCUGAUUCGUCGGUUCAAAUCCGACUAGGC
This 67-nucleotide transfer RNA is filed under the name bovine gut metagenome. It matches the Rfam family "tRNA". From Rfam's summary of the family: Transfer RNA (tRNA) molecules are approximately 80 nucleotides in length. The record is from RNAcentral.